AUCAAAAGCACUUUGAAAAGAGGGUGAAAAGAACCUGAAACCGUCACGGGGGAAGCGGAUUGCGUUGGAUUGAUGGGUGCUUGUGUGUUCAGCCCUUCGGGUGCAUUGAUACGAGUACUUAUCCACUGUGGGUUUUCGGAAACCGAUUUUGGGUUUUUGAAGGCUGAGGGCUCCCUUCGGGUGAGGACAGUGGAGUGACGACGCGAUACGACCCGUCUUGAAACACGGACCAAGGAGUCUAGCGCAGCUGCGAGUCAAAGGGUGCAAGCCCGUGGGCGUAGUGAAAGCAAAAGUAUGGAAAAUAAACAGUUUGGGGCGGCAUAAGAUCCUCGAUCUUAAGACCGACCCGGAGCAGUUGCGCUGGGACCCGAAAGAUGGUGAACUAUUUCUGAGUAGGGCAAAGCCAGAGGAAACUCUGGUGGAGGCUCGUAGCGGUGCUGACGUGCAAAUCGCUCGUCAAACUUGGAUAUAGGGGCGAAAGACUAAUCGAACCAUCUAGUAGCUGGUUCCCUCCGAAGUUUCUCUCAGGAUAGCGGGCCGACAAUCAGUUGUUCUGUGC
This 559-nucleotide ribosomal RNA is filed under the name Cystoclonium purpureum. Its description in RNAcentral is "eukaryotic LSU rRNA". It matches the Rfam family "Eukaryotic large subunit ribosomal RNA", at positions 364 to 1006 of the family's 3401-position model. The record is from RNAcentral. Lineage: Eukaryota; Rhodophyta; Florideophyceae; Gigartinales; Cystocloniaceae.